This 76-nucleotide transfer RNA is filed under the name Pedosphaera sp. RNAcentral's name for it is "tRNA-Phe". It matches the Rfam family "tRNA". Rfam says of the family: Transfer RNA (tRNA) molecules are approximately 80 nucleotides in length. Their secondary structure includes four short double-helical elements and three loops (D, anti-codon, and T loops). The record is from RNAcentral. Lineage: Bacteria; Pseudomonadati; Verrucomicrobiota; Pedosphaerae; Pedosphaerales; Pedosphaeraceae.
GGCUGGGUAGCUCAGUUGGUAGAGCAGAGGACUGAAAAUCCUUGUGUCGGGGGUUCAAUUCCCUCCCCAGCCACCA